Molecule: long non-coding RNA, 2781 nt
Filed under: Chrysolophus pictus (golden pheasant)
Lineage: Eukaryota; Metazoa; Chordata; Aves; Galliformes; Phasianidae
Description: lncRNA (ENSCPIG00010014730.1)
Source: RNAcentral
GUGUGUCCAGACAAAGACUUCCAUCAGGAGACCCACCUGUACUGAUGUCCAGUGCUCCAAGGGUACGUUGUGUGAGAUGGUCAAUGGUUGGCCCCAGUGUGUGCAAAUGAAAGUGGCCCCAAGGCAGCCUUCCUGCAGGGACAUGCAGUGUCCUAAAGGAACAUCAUGUAGGAUGACGGAUGGUUGGCCUCAGUGUGUGCAGAACCAGCCCUCCUGUCAGGAUGUCCAAUGUCAGAAGGGAACGGAGUGUCAGAUGGUCAAUGGUUGGCCACGGUGUGUCCAGACAAAGACUUCCAUCAGGAGACCCACCUGUACUGAUGUCCAGUGCUCCAAGGGUACGUUGUGUGAGAUGGUCAAUGGUUGGCCCCAGUGUGUGCAAAUGAAAGUGGCCCCAAGGCAGCCUUCCUGCAGGGACAUGCAGUGUCCUAAAGGAACAUCAUGUAGGAUGACGGAUGGUUGGCCUCAGUGUGUGCAGAACCAGCCCUCCUGUCAGGAUGUCCAAUGUCAGAAGGGAACGGAGUGUCAGAUGGUCAAUGGUUGGCCACAGUGUGUCCAAAUCAAGACUUCCAUCAGGAGACCCACCUGUAGUGAUGUCCAAUGUUCCAAAAGUUCAGUGUGUCAGAUGGUGGAUGGUUGGCCUCAGUGUGUUCAAGCCAAGGUGGCCCCAAGGCAGCCUUCCUGCAGCGACAUGCAGUGUCCUAAAGGGACAUCAUGCAGGAUGACAGAUGGGUGGCCCCACUGUGUCCAAAAUCGUCCCUCCUGCAGUGACAUCCGCUGCCAGAAGGGAACAGAGUGCCAAAUGGUCAACGGUUGGCCACGGUGUGUCCAAAUCAAGACCUCCCCGAGGCGACCUUCCUGUGAGGACAUCCAGUGUCCCAAAGGGAUCGCGUGCAAGAUGCUACACGGGCAGCCCCAAUGCAUCCAUCGACAGCCCUCCUGCAGUGACAUCCAGUGCCAGAAAGGGACAGCAUGCCAGAUCAUAGACGGGUGGCCCCAGUGCGUCCAACGCAGCCCCUCCUGCACCGACAUCCAAUGUCAGAUGGGCACCGUGUGCCGAAUGCUUGACGGGUGGCCACGGUGUGUCCAAACGAUGGCAUCCACGAGGCAACCUUCCUGCAUGGACAUCCUCUGUCCCAAAGGCACAGCCUGCACCAUGGCGGAGGGCAAACCCCGCUGCCAUCCCAGCCAACCCCUCCUCCUCGCUGCAUCCCGGGUUCUUCCUGCUCCUCUCCCCAAAACUCCCACUGAGGUUUCUGUUGUCCCCUCCUUGUGCCGUGGAGCCAACUGUGCUGGGCUCCCCCCGUCCUGCCAACACGUCAGCUGUCAACCCGGCACCAUUUGCAUCCUGCUACACGGCCGCCCCACCUGCAUCUCCCGACCUUCUUGCAAGAACCUCCGCUGCAAAGCGGGCACGGGCUGCAAAAUCAUCAAAGGUUGGCCCCGUUGUGUCCGUAUCCCAUCCUGCCAGGACCUGCAAUGCCCAAGUGGGACGGCGUGCAGGGCAGUGCAAGGUUGGCCCAAAUGCGUGAGGAUGGCGAGGAGCGCUCCGGUAUCGUCGUGUGCCAACAAGAUUUGCCCACCAGGGACCUCAUGCCACAUGGCCAAGGGCAUCCCCCACUGCAUCCCCCAACGCCCCAACUGCUCUACGGUGCGUUGCUCAGACGGAACCGAGUGCCACAUGGUGGGAGGUCGACCCAAAUGCGUGCCCAACUCACCCAACUGCAGCACAGUCCGAUGCCCUGCCGGCACCGCGUGCCAACUGGAGGGUGGUUGGCCGACCUGCGUGCCCAACAAACCAUCCUGCAGCACCGUCCGAUGCUCUGAGGGGACCACGUGUCGAAUGGUGGAUGAUUGGCCCAAAUGUGUCCCCAACAAACCAUCCUGCAAAGAGGUGUUGUGCCCGGCGGGGACUGAGUGCCAAAUGGUGGAUGAUUGGCCCAAAUGUGUGUCCAAAAAGCCAACUUGCAAAGAUACGCAUUGCCCUCUCGGAACAACGUGUCGGGUGGUGGAGGAUUGGCCCAAGUGUGUUCCCAACCAGAUGUCCUGCAAAGAAGUGCACUGCCCUCCCGCAACGACCUGCAGAAUGGUGGGGGAUUGGCCCCGUUGCGUUCCCAACCAGUUGUCCUGCAAAAAUAUGCAUUGUCCCGUUGGGACGACGUGCCAAGUAGUGAAGGAUGAACCUCAGUGCGUUCCCAACCAGUUGUCCUGCAAAGAUUUCCCGUGUCCAACGGGGACAAUUUGUAGGAUGGUGGACAACCAACCCAAGUGCGAACCCUACAAGUUGUCCUGCAAAGAUUUCCCGUGUCCAGUUGGGACAAUUUGUAGGAUGGUAGACAACCAACCCAAAUGUGAACCCAACAAGAUGUCCUGCAACGACAUCCAUUGCCCAAAGGGCGAAACCUGCAAGCUGACAGAGGAAGGCUCACCCCAAUGCGUCCCCACACAUCACCCCCCACUCGUCUGCCACGUCCUGAGGCAGUGGAGGUACCGAGCUUUUGAUGGGAGGGGGUACAGCUUGGGGGGUCCCUGUGCCCAAACUCUUGUGAGCACUUGUGGUGCCCAGAAGACCUUCCUCAACGUCACGGUUGGGGGACAAGAUGGCACGGGAAGGGCUGCAUCCUUUGCCUACGUCAUGCUGCAAGGUGAUGGCUACGAGGUCGUGCUGGUCCGAGGAGAGGAGAAGAUGGCCAGGGUAAGGGGAGUGGGAAGGGGGGGUGUGAGGAGAGGGGUGGUCUGGUAUGGGGUUAUGGGGUGGGAUUAUGGAGUUUUGGGAAGGGAUUA